GUAAUUUUUUUAUAUUUUUAUUUGCUUGUCUAAUUAGAGCAUUUUUAUCUUUAUAAUGUUUAUAAUUUUGCUGUGUUAUUAGAUUGCCAAAAGUGGGAACUAGGACUACUAAGACGGCAUGUUCGACCAACACAUAGCCAUUUUUAUGUUUACAGCCGGAAAGAAGCUUCUGUUUGGUAGAGCUUCUGUUCGGCAGCUGUCUGUGAAGUUUCUACUGCUGUUUAAUGGAGUUUUGCUACCGUUUGGUGGAGUUUUUGCUGUCAUUUGUGGAGUUUCAGCAACUGCCGUUUUAGUCGAGUUUCCUCUACUCUUUUGUGGACUAUUUGCUGCUAUUUCCUAAAGUUUUAAUCGUUUCUGGAUUUUAAUUUGUGGAGCUUUUAGUUUUGUGUUGAUUGAUGUUGUUGGAUUUAAUUUGUGGAGUUUUAGUUGCUGAUUUUUUCAUAUUAGCAGAUGAUAUGGUUUAUGAAAUGUAUGUAAUUUUAAACA
This is a long non-coding RNA of Mercurialis annua (annual mercury), 486 nucleotides long. RefSeq lists it as uncharacterized. The transcript is spliced from 2 exons. NCBI's taxonomy places the organism in Eukaryota, Viridiplantae, Streptophyta, Magnoliopsida, Malpighiales, Euphorbiaceae. The record is from RefSeq and is a predicted model, not a curated record.